GACGAACGCUGGCGGCGUGCUUAACACAUGCAAGUCGAACGGAAAGGCCCUGCUUUUGCGGGGUGCUCGAGUGGCGAACGGGUGAGUAACACGUGAGUAACCUGCCCUUGACUUUCGGAUAACUUCAGGAAACUGGGGCUAAUACCGGAUAGGAGCUCCUGCUGCAUGGUGGGGGAUGGAAAGUUUCGGCGGUUGGGGAUGGACUCGCGGCUUAUCAGCUUGUUGGUGGGGUAGUGGCUUACCAAGGCUUUGACGGGUAGCCGGCCUGAGAGGGUGACCGGCCACAUUGGGACUGAGAUACGGCCCAGACUCCUACGGGAGGCAGCAGUGGGGAAUAUUGCACAACGGGCGGAAGCCUGAUGCGGCAACGCCGCGUGCGGGAUGACGGCCUUCGGGUUGUAAACCGCUGUCGCCUGUGACGAAGCGUGAGUGACGGUAAUGGGUAAAGAAGCACCGGCUAACUACGUG
Molecule: ribosomal RNA, 468 nt
Filed under: uncultured bacterium
Lineage: Bacteria
Description: partial 16S ribosomal RNA
Rfam family: Bacterial small subunit ribosomal RNA
Source: RNAcentral